Molecule: ribosomal RNA, 509 nt
Filed under: Pedaria sp. dgi1
Lineage: Eukaryota; Metazoa; Arthropoda; Insecta; Coleoptera; Scarabaeidae
Description: eukaryotic LSU rRNA
Rfam family: Eukaryotic large subunit ribosomal RNA
Source: RNAcentral
GCACUUCCGGGGCGUCUCGUUCUCAUCGCGAGAAGAGGCGCACCCAGAGCGUACACGCUGGGACCCGAAAGAUGGUGAACUAUGCCUGGUCAGGACGAAGUCAGGGGAAACCCUGAUGGAGGUCCGUAGCGAUUCUGACGUGCAAAUCGAUCGUCGGAACUGGGUAUAGGGGCGAAAGACUAAUCGAACCUUCUAGUAGCUGGUUCCCUCCGAAGUUUCCCUCAGGAUAGCUGGCGCUCGCCUUUGCGAGUCUCAUUCGGUAAAGCGAAUGAUUAGAGGCAUUGGGGUCGAAACGGCCUCAACCUAUUCUCAAACUUUAAAUGGGUGAGAUCUCCGGCUUGCUUGAAGCGUGAAGCCGCGAGAGAUCGGAUCACAGAGUGCCAAGUGGGCCACUUUUGGUAAGCAGAACUGGCGCUGUGGGAUGAACCAAACGCCGAGUUAAAGCGCCCAAAUCGACGCUUAUGGGAUACCAUGAAAGGCGUUGGUAACUUAAGACAGCAGGACGGUGG